Molecule: transfer RNA, 70 nt
Filed under: Dolichomastix tenuilepis
Lineage: Eukaryota; Viridiplantae; Chlorophyta; Mamiellophyceae; Dolichomastigales; Dolichomastigaceae
Rfam family: tRNA
About the family: Transfer RNA (tRNA) molecules are approximately 80 nucleotides in length. Their secondary structure includes four short double-helical elements and three loops (D, anti-codon, and T loops).
Source: RNAcentral
AGUGGUGGAAUGGUAGACACGGGUGAUUCAAAAUCAUCUGCAUUAAGCGUGGAGGUUCAAAUCCUCUCUA